Molecule: long non-coding RNA, 1332 nt
Organism: Dreissena polymorpha
Lineage: Eukaryota; Metazoa; Mollusca; Bivalvia; Myida; Dreissenidae
Exons: 2
Source: RefSeq, a predicted model, not a curated record
GUUUUGCCUCUAGCAGCUAAUUUAACGCACAAUGAUUUUUUGGUGAAGUUAUGUUCACGAACGGAUGAUCACAUUCGCACGAAUGAAUGAACACGUUAGCAUGAGGCGUGGGGAACGUAUUCAUGACAGGUUAUGAAUGAAAAUAUCAUGAGUGGAAAGCUUUUUCACGUAUGACUUAAGAUUGCAUCACCGGCGGUGGUGGGCGCACGUGCAUAAAACACGAAUGCGAGCUUCGGCUUAAAGAUUGGCAACGUAUUAUUAUUAUUUAAAGUAUUUAUAAUGACAUAUUCCAAGUAUUCCGAAAAAACUAUUUAGGACAGAGGAUAAAAUAUCGUGUUGAUAAAAAGAAUAAUACUACUACGGGAUUGUUCUGUAUUCCUUUACAGCGACGCUUUGCAUUAAAGCUAGGCGGAUUAAUUAUCAUAGCGUGAUAUCCGAAGCAAAUUCACUAUGACGCGCGCCUUUUCGAGAAGAACGACGUGCAUCAUUCUAGCGAUGUUUCUUUUGUUGACGUUACUUUGUACGUUGACGUCAGCCCAACACUUGUGCCGAAGCGUCGGCUGGCUGGGUUGCAUAGACGUAGGAUGCAGUAACGGGGGUCGAGGGUACUGCAAAAACUUCGGGGAUCGCCCGCACAACGACUGUAAAUGCGUUAUGUACUGGUGACGUCGGUCACGUUUAGUCAUGUCACGUUGAGAUUGGCGAAGAAGUAUGUUUGGGUGACGUCAUGAUUUUAACUCAGGUUGUCAUUUUGUGUUUUCUUGUGACGCCAUCAUAAAAUGCUGAUGGAACAUAUUUAAGAUAAGUCAUUUGAAAGUUCUGAUUAAAUAUGCUCUAGUGACGCCAUACAGACGUUUUGCCCAAAAAGUCAGUGAAGUCAAAUGAAAGCGCUCACGAAUCAUAUUCAAGUGACAUCCAGCUUUUCAAAUACAUGUUGUUCUGAUAGCAGUGGUGAAAUCUAGCCAUUGGAUGCCAAAGGAGUCUCGCUUGCCUGAUACGUUUUGAAUAGAGAAAUUGUAAAAACCACACACGGUUUUUCUCUUUAAAAAAUACACUUGUGAAGUGUAAGUGAUAAUAUAUAUUAUUAUUUAAUGUUUUGAAUGUUGUUGCUUGACAGAAGGGGAGAAAGCUAGAUUAUAAGAUGGCAGCUAGGGUUGUAUUUAUCUACUGUUUCAAAUGUUCUCAAAGGUCUUUGGUUGGUUAAGGUUUUUGUGUAAUGUAUAUCAUGUUUGUAAAUCUGAUUAUUUAUAAUUUAUUGUCAUUCUAUCAUCAUAUUGUUGUCAAUCGAUCAUCACAUUAUAGAAACAAACAUUAAAACAUGCUCUAAUGUUU